Molecule: small RNA, 129 nt
Filed under: Arabidopsis thaliana (thale cress)
Lineage: Eukaryota; Viridiplantae; Streptophyta; Magnoliopsida; Brassicales; Brassicaceae
Description: ATSL071900
Source: RNAcentral
GUUAUCAACAUAAGCUAAGAGAGAGUUGGAUAAUUUGGAAACCAAAGAAAAACGGAAGAAACAGAAGAAACACAACGAGAAAUCUGAUGAGAAUAAGGUCAGAUCCUACAUGAAUUUCUAUUUUUUCUU